This 468-nucleotide ribosomal RNA is filed under the name uncultured bacterium. RNAcentral describes it as "partial 16S ribosomal RNA". It matches the Rfam family "Bacterial small subunit ribosomal RNA", at positions 28 to 507 of the family's 1533-position model. The record is from RNAcentral.
GACGAACGCUGGCGGCGUGCUUAACACAUGCAAGUCGAACGGAAAGGCCCUGCUUUUGUGGGGUGCUCGAGUGGCGAACGGGUGAGUAACACGUGAGUAACCUGCCCUUGACUUUGGGAUAACUUCAGGAAACUGGGGCUAAUACCGGAUAGGAGCUCCUGCUGCAUGGUGGGGGUUGGAAAGUUUCGGCGGUUGGGGAUGGACUCGCGGCCUAUCAGCUUGUUGGUGGGGUAGUGGCUUACCAAGGCCUGGACGGGUAGCCGGCCUGAGAGGGUGACCGGCCACAUUGGGACUGGGAUGCGGCACAGACCCCUACGGGAGGCAGCAGUGGGGAAUAUUGCACAAUGGGCGGAGGCCUGAUGCAGCAACGCCGCGUGCGGGAUGACGGCCUUCGGUUUGUAAACCGCUUUCGCCUGUGACGAAGCGUGAGUGACGGUAAUGGGUAAAGAAGCACCGGCUAACUACGUG